Molecule: unclassified non-coding RNA, 221 nt
Filed under: Hevea brasiliensis (rubber tree)
Lineage: Eukaryota; Viridiplantae; Streptophyta; Magnoliopsida; Malpighiales; Euphorbiaceae
Source: RNAcentral
GUGAGAAUUGAUUUGGUUUCGCUAGCAUUUUUCUCUUUUACUUCUCAAAGAAUGGGCGUGGCGAGAUCAGGAAUGGAAAUGAAAUCAGAACUGCAAGUUGCGUACGGUUACAGUGUUACAAGUUGGUUUGAUUUGGCUUAUACACCGCUGACGAGCUUCCGCAACUGAAAAUCAGUCUCGCAAUAGCCGAUGACGAUUAUUAGAAGGAUUAAGGCCAAAUG